UACGUAGGGGGCGAGCGUUGUCCGAAGUUAUUGGGCGUAAAGCGCGCGCAGGCGGUCCUUUAAGUCUGAUGUGAAAGCCCACGGCUCAACCGUGGAGGGUCAUUGGAAACUGGGGGACUUGAGUACAGAAGAGAAGAGUGGAAUUCCACGUGUAGCGGUGAAAUGCGUAGAGAUGUGGAGGAACACCAGUGGCGAAGGCGACUCUUUGGUCUGUAACUGACGCUGAGGCGCGAAAGCGUGGGGAGCAAACAGG
RNAcentral lists this ribosomal RNA (253 nucleotides) under uncultured bacterium. RNAcentral describes it as "partial 16S ribosomal RNA". It matches the Rfam family "Bacterial small subunit ribosomal RNA", at positions 524 to 776 of the family's 1533-position model. The record is from RNAcentral.